GAUUGUUGCAACGACAUUCGUUCAUAAUUGUUCAUUACUGUUCCCGUCUCGGGUGGAUGGUCAGAAAACACGUAUAUAUUAUUUGUUGGAACGUUAAGCAAUUACAUUGAAUCUCUUGCGUUCUUUAAACUUUAAGUCGUACUCUUGCAGCGUGAAAAAUGACUGGACUUAAUAUUUUGAUAGGAGCACUGGUAUUACUAGUGUCCGGCACUAUUUUCUCCCACGCGGACUACCAAUUUUGCAAUCGUAAAAAGGCGUGCCCAGAAGGACAAUUCUGCGGUAGAGACACUAAUGGCCUUCGUCGUUGUAGACCCAUUGGUACUGGUAAGUUAUCAUCCCGAUCCAAAUGCUUGAAGAGUGGUCUCUGUUAAUUUAUCU
Molecule: long non-coding RNA, 378 nt
Organism: Mercenaria mercenaria
Lineage: Eukaryota; Metazoa; Mollusca; Bivalvia; Venerida; Veneridae
Exons: 3
Source: RefSeq, a predicted model, not a curated record